RNAcentral lists this long non-coding RNA (227 nucleotides) under Lotus japonicus. RNAcentral describes it as "long non-coding RNA (LJAP_LNC000272)". Lineage: Eukaryota; Viridiplantae; Streptophyta; Magnoliopsida; Fabales; Fabaceae. The record is from RNAcentral.
CAAGAUCCUCAUUGGGAGGAAAAAUAUUAUAAAAAUAAUAUAACUUAUUUGCUGCUGGAUAAAUAGAUAGCCAAAGAUAAUUAAAAAUAUAUUGUAAUUAAUAUCAUUACAUUUAGAUACAAAUGAAAGAAACAUUCAACCUUUCCACCAAAUAACAUGUCUAGAAUUGAGCAGUGACUGUAAUCAAUACAACUCAAAAGCUGAAUCAAAUCCAGAUGGUUUCCUCC